UACGGAGGGGGCGAGCGUUAUUCGGAAUCAUUGGGCGUAAAGAGUUCGUAGGCGGGACGCUCAGUCCGGCGUGAAAGCCCCCGGCUCAACCGGGGAGGGCCGCUGGAUACUGGCGUUCUCGAGCAGGGCAGGGGUCGGCGGAAUUCCAGGUGUAGCGGUGGAAUGCUUAGAUAUCUGGAAGAACACCGGUGGCGAAGGCGGCCGACUGGGCCCUCGCUGACGCUGAGGAACGAAAGCCAGGGGAGCGAACGGG
This 253-nucleotide unclassified non-coding RNA is filed under the name uncultured bacterium. Its description in RNAcentral is "contains 16S-23S intergenic spacer region". It matches the Rfam family "Bacterial small subunit ribosomal RNA", at positions 524 to 776 of the family's 1533-position model. The record is from RNAcentral.